This 883-nucleotide ribosomal RNA is filed under the name uncultured bacterium. RNAcentral's name for it is "bacterial SSU rRNA". It matches the Rfam family "Bacterial small subunit ribosomal RNA", at positions 26 to 896 of the family's 1533-position model. The record is from RNAcentral.
AGAUUGAACGCUGGCGGCAGGCCUAACACAUGCAAGUCGAGCGGAAACAGAGAGUAACUUGUUACUUUGCUGUCGAGCGGCGGACGGGUGAGUAAUGCUUGGGAAACUGCCCAGUCGAGGGGGACAACCAUUGGAAACGAUGGCUAAUACCGCAUACGCCCUACGGGGGAAAGAAGGGGACUCUUCGGAGCCUUUCGCGAUUGGAUGUGCCCAAGUGGGAUUAGCUAGUUGGUGAGGUAAAGGCUCACCAAGGCAACGAUCCCUAGCUGGUUUGAGAGGAUGAUCAGCCACACUGGAACUGAGACACGGUCCAGACUCCUACGGGAGGCAGCAGUGGGGAAUAUUGCACAAUGGGCGCAAGCCUGAUGCAGCCAUGCCGCGUGUAUGAAGAAGGCCUUCGGGUUGUAAAGUACUUUCAGCGAGGAGGAAAGGUUAGUCGUUAAUAACGGCUAGCUGUGACGUUACUCGCAGAAGAAGGACCGGCUAACUCCGUGCCAGCAGCCGCGGUAAUACGGAGGGUCCGAGCGUUAAUCGGAAUUACUGGGCGUAAAGCGUACGCAGGCGGUUUGUUAAGCGAGAUGUGAAAGCCCCGGGCUCAACCUGGGAACUGCAUUUCGAACUGACAAACUAGAGUUUUGUAGAGGGUGGUAGAAUUUCAGNUGUAGCGGUGAAAUGCGUAGAGAUCUGAAGGAAUACCAGUGGCGAAGGCGGCCACCUGGACAAUAACUGACGCUCAUGUACGAAAGCGUGGGGAGCAAACGGGAUUAGAUACCCCGGUAGUCCACGCCGUAAACGAUGUCAACUAGCCGACUGAAGCCUUGAGCUUUGGGUGGCGCAGCUAACGCAUUAAGUUGACCGCCUGGGGAGUACGGCCGCAAGGUUA